UUUGAUUUAGAUCCUCCGCGAAUCGAUUCCUAAAAAACCUCAACACUACACUUUUUAUCUUCAUCGUUUUUCUAGUACGCUCGUUUUAUCAUCAAUGAUAUUCACACAUACCACUUUUUGAUUCUUUUAUAACGGAACAUUCUCAUUUAUGUUUUUCAUAGAACUCCCCUCAUCGUUAUCUUCUGAUUAUUGAAAAUAAAAUAUUAUUUUUAGGUUUAAUAAACUUUUAAAAAUCCUUUCUCAAAGUAUAAAGAAGAAAAUAUCUCUGUUACUUGAAACAGGGGAUGGUCUACUCAGAAAGCUAUUUGCCAGAGCCGGCUCUUGGGGGAGCCAAAUGAAGCUUUCGGCCUCCCAUGGCCUCCAAUUUUCACUCAGGGUUUUUAUAGUUUUAACAAUAUUUUCUGCAGGGAAGAAAGCAUAGUAUGGUUCUAUAAUUUCCGAUUAAUCUCUACUUUAUGUAGUUUUGGAUUUUUUUAAGCUACUUCCAAAUAGUAAUGUAUGUAAAGUCUGAGACGGUAGUGGUAGCUUGUGAUUUCUUUUAUUAUCUUCAGAUGAAGUGAGAAGAGGGGUUUUUGCAGAGGUAUGGCUGAAGAAAUAAAGGAUGUUGAUGUGUGAAGAAGGCUCUUGCAAAGAAAUGGAUGGAUGUAAUGAUCCGACUCAAAAGGACCAUGAAUUUUCCUAGUAACUUAGUUCAUAUCCAUUUGUUUUCACUUUAUAAUUUAUAUGCAUUUUUUCUUUAACUGUCCUUUACCUAUGACAAAUUGGGUAUGCGGCUUCUAUAAAAAAGUUAGAGAAAAAUAGGAGUUUGUAGUUAUUUUAAAGCAGUCAAUAAUCUCUCCUUGCUUUAAGAUAUUGUAACAAUAUAGAGAUAAAUCAACUUGGUUUUUGAUUUU
This 893-nucleotide long non-coding RNA is filed under the name Helianthus annuus (common sunflower). Its description in RNAcentral is "hypothetical non coding rna". Lineage: Eukaryota; Viridiplantae; Streptophyta; Magnoliopsida; Asterales; Asteraceae. The record is from RNAcentral.